GACGAACGCUGGCGGCGUGCUUAACACAUGCAAGUCGAACGAUGACGACCGAGCUUGCUCGGUCUGAUUAGUGGCGAACGGGUGAGUAACACGUGAGCAACCUGCCCUUCACUCUGGGAUAACCUCGGGAAAUCGGGGCUAAUACCGGAUAUGAGCUCCUGUCGCAUGGCGGGUGUUGGAAAGUUUUUCGGUGAGGGAUGGGCUCGCGGCCUAUCAGUUUGUUGGUGGGGUAGUGGCUCACCAAGGCGAUGACGGGUAGCCGGCCUGAGAGGGCGACCGGCCACACUGGGACUGAGACACGGCCCAGACUCCUACGGGAGGCAGCAGUGGGGAAUAUUGCACAAUGGGCGAAAGCCUGAUGCAGCGACGCCGCGUGAGGGAUGACGGCCUUCGGGUUGUAAACCUCUUUCAGCAGGGAAGAAGCGAAAGUGACGGUACCUGCAGAAGAAGCGCCGGCUAACUACGUG
This 467-nucleotide ribosomal RNA is filed under the name uncultured bacterium. RNAcentral's name for it is "partial 16S ribosomal RNA". It matches the Rfam family "Bacterial small subunit ribosomal RNA", at positions 28 to 507 of the family's 1533-position model. The record is from RNAcentral.